This 346-nucleotide ribosomal RNA is filed under the name uncultured eukaryote. RNAcentral's name for it is "SSU rRNA". It matches the Rfam family "Eukaryotic small subunit ribosomal RNA", at positions 587 to 938 of the family's 1831-position model. The record is from RNAcentral.
AGCUCCAAUAGCGUAUAUUAAAGUUGUUGCGGUAAAAAAGCUCGUAGUUGGAUUUCUGUUGGGGGGACCGGUCUGUGCCACGCACAUGCAUCUGGCUCCGCCUCGGCAUCCUCUCGAUUUGGAUUCCUGUGCUUGAUUGCAUGGGGUUUGUAUCGGGACUUUUACUUUGAGGAAAUUAGAGUGUUCACGGCAGGCUAUCGCCAGAAUACAUUAGCAUGGAAUAAUACUAUAGGAUCUCGAUUCUAUUUUGUUGGUUUCUAGAAGCGAGAUAAUGAUUAAUAGGGACAAUUGGGGGGCAUUCGUAUCAACACGUCAGAGGUGGAAUUCUUGGAUUGUGUUGCGACGA